This 377-nucleotide unclassified non-coding RNA is filed under the name plant metagenome. RNAcentral's name for it is "partial contains 5.8S ribosomal RNA, internal transcribed spacer 2, and large subunit ribosomal RNA". The stretch from base 1 to 104 matches the Rfam family "5.8S ribosomal RNA", at positions 51 to 154 of the family's 154-position model. The record is from RNAcentral.
AAAUGCGAUAAGUAAUGUGAAUUGCAGAAUUCAGUGAAUCAUCGAAUCUUUGAACGCACCUUGCGCUCCUUGGUAUUCCUUGGAGCAUGCCUGUUUGAGUCUCAUGAAAUCUUCAAAGUAAAUCUUUUGUUAACUCAAUUGGUUUCUACUUUGGUAUUGGAGGUCUUUGCAGCUUCACACCUGCUCCUCUUUGUUCAUUAGCUGGAUCUCAGUGUUAUGCUUGGUUCCACUCGGCGUGAUAAGUUAUCUAUCGCUGAGGACACUGUAAAAGGUGGCCAAGGUAAAUGCAGAUGAACCGCUUCUAAUAGUCCAUUGACUUGGACAAUACUUUUAUGAUCUGAUCUCAAAUCAGGUAGGACUACCCGCUGAACUUAAGC